AGUGAACGCUGGCGGUAGGCCUAACACAUGCAAGUCGAACGGCAGCACAGUAAGAGCUUGCUCUUACGGGUGGCGAGUGGCGGACGGGUGAGGAAUACAUCGGAAUCUACUUUUUCGUGGGGGAUAACGUAGGGAAACUUACUCUAAUACCGCAUACGACCUACGGGUGAAAGCAGGGGAUCUUCGGACCUUGCGCGAUUGAAUGAGCCGAUGUCGGAUUAGCUAGUUGGCGGGGUAAAGGCCCACCAAGGCGACGAUCCGUAGCUGGUCUGAGAGGAUGGUCGGCCACACUGGAACGGAGACGCGGUCCAGGCGACUACGGGAGGCAGCAGUGGGGAAUAUUGGACAAUGGGCGCAAGCCUGAUACAGCCAUACCGAGUGGGUGAAGAAGGCCUUCGGGUUGUAAAGACCUUUUGUUGGGAAAGAAAAGCAGCAGGUUAAUACCACGCUGUUCUGACGGUACCCAAAGAAUAAGCACCGGCUAACUUCGUG
This 492-nucleotide ribosomal RNA is filed under the name uncultured bacterium. Its description in RNAcentral is "partial 16S ribosomal RNA". It matches the Rfam family "Bacterial small subunit ribosomal RNA", at positions 29 to 507 of the family's 1533-position model. The record is from RNAcentral.